AGUGAACGCUGGCGGUAGGCCUAACACAUGCAAGUCGAACGGCAGCACAGUAAGAGCUUGCUCUUACGGGUGGCGAGUGGCGGACGGGUGAGGAAUACAUCGGAAUCUACUUUUUCGUGGGGGAUAACGUAGGGAAACUUACGCUAAUACCGCAUACGACCUACGGGUGAAAGCAGGGGAUCUUCGGACCUUGCGCGAUUGAAUGAGCCGAUGUCGGAUUAGCUAGUUGGCGGGGUAAAGGCCCACCAAGGCGACGAUCCGUAGCUGGUCUUAGAGGAUGAUCAGCCACACUGGAACUGGGACACGGUCCAGACUCCUACGGGAGGCAGCAGUGGGGAAUAUUGGACAAUGGGCGCAAGCCUGAUCCAGCCAUACCGCGUGGGUGAAGAAGGCCUUCGGGUUGUAAAGCCCUUUUGUUGGGAAAGAAAAGCAGCAGGUUAAUACCCCGCUGUUCUGACGGUACCCAAAGAAUAAGCACCGGCUAACUUCGUG
RNAcentral lists this ribosomal RNA (492 nucleotides) under uncultured bacterium. Its description in RNAcentral is "partial 16S ribosomal RNA". It matches the Rfam family "Bacterial small subunit ribosomal RNA", at positions 29 to 507 of the family's 1533-position model. The record is from RNAcentral.